GACGUAGGGCGCGAGCGUUGUCCGGAUUUAUUGGGCGUAAAGAGCUCGUAGGCGGCUUGUCGCGUCGACUGUGAAAACUCGGGGCUCAACUCCGAGCUUGCAGUCGAUACGGGCAGGCUAGAGUUCGGUAGGGGAGACUGGAAUUCCUGGUGUAGCGGUGAAAUGCGCAGAUAUCAGGAGGAACACCGAUGGCGAAGGCAGGUCUCUGGGCCGAUAUCGACGCUGAGGAGCGAAAGCGUGGGGAGCGAACAGG
RNAcentral lists this ribosomal RNA (253 nucleotides) under uncultured bacterium. Its description in RNAcentral is "partial 16S ribosomal RNA". It matches the Rfam family "Bacterial small subunit ribosomal RNA", at positions 524 to 776 of the family's 1533-position model. The record is from RNAcentral.